RNAcentral lists this ribosomal RNA (437 nucleotides) under uncultured bacterium. RNAcentral describes it as "partial 16S ribosomal RNA". It matches the Rfam family "Bacterial small subunit ribosomal RNA", at positions 29 to 507 of the family's 1533-position model. The record is from RNAcentral.
AGCGAACGCUGGCGGCAGGCUUAACACAUGCAAGUCGAGCGGGCAUCCUUGUGGUGUCAGCGGCAGACGGGUGAGUAACGCGUGGGAACGUGCCCUUCGGUUCGGAAUAACUCAGGGAAACUUGAGCUAAUACCGGAUACGUGCGAGAGCAGAAAGGUUUAUCUGCCGAAGGAUCGGCCCGCGUCUGAUUAGCUAGUUGGUGAGGUUACGGCUCACCAAGGCGACGAUCAGUAGCUGGUCUGAGAGGAUGAUCAGCCACACUGGGACUGAGACACGGCCCAGACUCCUACGGGAGGCAGCAGUGGGGAAUAUUGGACAAUGGGGGCAACCCUGAUCCAGCCAUGCCGCGUGAGUGAUGACGGCCUUAGGGCUGUAAAGCUCUUUUCUCCGGGACGAUAAUGACGGUACCGGAGGAAUAAGCCCCGGCUAACUUCGUG